RNAcentral lists this long non-coding RNA (367 nucleotides) under Durio zibethinus. Its description in RNAcentral is "long non-coding RNA (DZIB_LNC002281)". The record is from RNAcentral. Lineage: Eukaryota; Viridiplantae; Streptophyta; Magnoliopsida; Malvales; Malvaceae.
ACUAUGGAUGGAUUGUUAGUGUGAAAGAUAUAAUUGGAGGACAUGUAUGGUUAGGUUCCAUUUGUAUAUUUGGUGGCAUCUGGCAUAUCUUAACCAAACCUUUUGCAUGGGCUCGCCACGUACGACGAGUCUGGCAUGUUUAAUAAAACAGUGCUAUUCCAUUUGCAUCAAUGCCAAGUUAAAUAAUACAUAGAAUUUGCCUUUUCAUAAAAAUAAUAAAAAAUCAUACAUGCAUCAUCAUCAUCAUUCGUACAAAAGAUACCAAACCUUUUGCAUGGGCUCGCCAGGUACGACGAGUCUGGCAUGUUUAAUAAAACAGUGCUAUUCCAUUUGCAACAAUGCCAAGUUAAAUAAUACAUAGAAUUUG